Non-coding RNA from Triticum aestivum (bread wheat), 125 nucleotides. Lineage: Eukaryota; Viridiplantae; Streptophyta; Magnoliopsida; Poales; Poaceae. The record is from Rfam.
CAUGUACUCCCUCCAUCCGGAAAUACUUGUCCGAGGAAUGGAUGUAUCUAGAUGUAUUUUAGUUCUAGAUACAUCCAUUUGUAUCAAUUUCUAUGACAAGUAUUUCUGGACGGAGGGAGUACGUA